CCUACGGGAGGCAGCAGUGAGGAAUAUUGGUCAAUGGACGAGAGUCUGAACCAGCCAAGUAGCGUGAAGGAUGACUGCCCUAUGGGUUGUAAACUUCUUUUAUAAAGGAAUAAAACGAGGCACGUGUGCCUUUUUGCAUGUACUUUAUGAAUAAGGAUCGGCUAACUCCGUGCCAGCAGCCGCGGUAAUCCGGAGGAUCCGAGCGUUAUCCGGAUUUAUUGGGUUUAAAGGGAGCGUAGAUGGGUUGUUAAGUCAGUUGUGAAAGUUUGCGGCUCAACCGUAAAAUUGCAAUUGAUACUGGCAGUCGUGAGUACAGUUGAGGUAGGCGGAAUUCGUGGUGUAGCGGUGAAAUGCUUAGAUAUCACGAAGAACCCCGAUUGCGAAGGCAGCUUACUAAACUGUGACUGACAUUGAUGCUCGAAAGUGUGGGUAUCAAACAGGAUUAGAUACCCUAGUAGUC
RNAcentral lists this ribosomal RNA (460 nucleotides) under uncultured bacterium. Its description in RNAcentral is "partial 16S ribosomal RNA". It matches the Rfam family "Bacterial small subunit ribosomal RNA", at positions 338 to 795 of the family's 1533-position model. The record is from RNAcentral.